This 460-nucleotide ribosomal RNA is filed under the name uncultured bacterium. RNAcentral's name for it is "partial 16S ribosomal RNA". It matches the Rfam family "Bacterial small subunit ribosomal RNA", at positions 338 to 795 of the family's 1533-position model. The record is from RNAcentral.
CCUACGGGAGGCAGCAGUGAGGAAUAUUGGUCAAUGGACGAGAGUCUGAACCAGCCAAGUAGCGUGAAGGAUGACUGCCCUAUGGGUUGUAAACUUCUUUUAUAAAGGAAUAAAACGAGGCACGUGUGCCUUUUUGCAUGUACUUUAUGAAUAAGGAUCGGCUAACUCCGUGCCAGCAGCCGCGGUAAUACGGAGGAUCCGAGCGUUAUCCGGAUUUAUUGGGUUUAAAGGGAGCGUAGAUGGUUUGUUAAGUCAGUUGUGAAAGUUUGCGGCUCAACCGGAAAACUGCAAUUGAUACUGGCAGUCUUGAGUACAGUUGAGGUAGGCGGAAUGCGAGGUGUAGCGGUGAAAUGCUUAGAUAUCACGAAGAACCCCGAUUGCGAAGGCAGCUUACUAAACUGAGACUGACAUUGAUGUGCGAAAGUGUGGGUAGCAAACAGGAUUAGAUACCCCAGUAGUC